GGAUCGAUUACAUCCGGGGGGUAGAGCGACUGGAUGCUUGCGGGCCCAUAUCGGGUACCAACAGCAACCAAACUCCGAAUACCCGUGAUGCGUAUCCCGGCAGUGAGUCGGCGGGGGAUAAGCUCCGUCGUCGAAAGGGAAACAGCCCAGAUCGUCGUCUAAGGUCCCCAAGCGUGUGCUAAGUGGGAAAGGAUGUGGAGUCGCAUAGACAGCCAGGAGGUUGGCUCAGAAGCAGCCACCCUUGAAAGAGUGCGUAACAGCUCACUGGUCUAGUGGUUCCGCGCCGACAAUGUAGCGGGGCUCAAGCACACCACCGAAGACGCGGCAGUAGCUUUGCUACUGGGUAGGAGAGCGUCCCAUGCGGGGCGAAGCGGCGGCGCAAGCCCGCCGUGGACUGCAUGGGAGUGAGAAUGCAGACAUGAGUAGCGAAAGACGGGUGAAGAUCCCGUCCGCUGGACGACCAAGGGUUCCAGGGCCACGUUCAUCGUCCCUGGGUGAGUCGGGUCCUAAGGCGAGGCCGACAGGCGUAGUCGAAUGGAUGAACGGGUCGAUAUUCCCGUACCGGCAUGCAACCGACAAAACCGAAUCCGCGAGUACUAACCUCCGGGUCCGGGCUUACGUCUCCUUCGGGAGCCGGAUGCCCUGGCCUGUUGGGACCGUAACGGUAGUAGGUCAGCGCGGGAGUGACGCAGAAGGGUAGCCGGCCGCGGAGGUGGUCUUCCGUGGUCAAGCACGCAGCCCGUCCCACAGGCAAAUCCGUGGGGCGCGUGGGCGAGGUGCGAUGAUGGGCGCCGCAGGGCGCGAUAUCCGGUGAUCCCGGCUGCCGAGAAAAGCUUCGGCGUGAGGCGGCGUGCCGCCCGUACCCCAAACCGACACUGGUGGUCAGGUAGAGAAUACCAAAGCGAUCGAGCGAAUCCUGGUCAAGGAACUCGGCAAAUCACUCCCGUUCCUUCGGUUUAAGGGAGACCCCCGAUGGUGAAGCGGCUUGCCCGUGGAGCUUUUGGGGGUGGCACAGACCAGGGGGUAGCGACUGUUUACCAAAAACACAGGAGCGUGCGAAGGCGCAAGCCGCUGUAUACGCUCUGACGCCUGCCCGGUGCCGGAAGGUUAAGAGGAUCCGUCAGGCUUCGGCCGAAGCGGUGAAUUCAAGCCCCGGUAAACGGCGGUGGUAACUAUAACCAUCCUAAGGUAGCGAAAUUCCUUGUCGGGUAAGUUCCGACCUGCACGAAUGGCGUAACGACUUCCCCACUGUCUCGACCAGGAGCUCGGCGAAAUUGCAGUACGAGUAAAGAUGCUCGUUAAGCGCAGAAGGACGAAAAGACCCCGGGACCUUUACUAUACCUUGGUAUUGGCAUUCGGUGUGGAUUGUGUAGCAUAGGCGGAAGGCUUCGAAGCCACGGCGCCAGCCGCGGUGGAGCCGCAAGGUGAAAUACCGCUCUGUUCGCAUUGGAUGUCUAACCUCGACCAGUCAUCCUGGUCAGGGACAGUGCCUGGCGGGUAGUUUAACUGGGGCGGUUGCCUCCCAAAGAGUAACGGAGGCGCUCAAAGGUUCCCUCAGCCCGGUUGGCAAUCGGGUGGCGAGUGUAAGUGCACAAGGGAGCUUGACUGCGAGACUGACGGGUCGAGCAGGGACGAAAGUCGGAACUAGUGAUCCGGUGCCGGUGUACGGACGCGGCAUCGCUCAACGGAUAAAAGGUACCCCGGGGAUAACAGGCUGAUCAUUCCCAAGAGUCCAUAUCGACGGGAUGGUUUGGCACCUCGAUGUCG
Molecule: ribosomal RNA, 1767 nt
Filed under: human gut metagenome
Description: bacterial LSU rRNA
Rfam family: Bacterial large subunit ribosomal RNA
Source: RNAcentral